CAAUAGCGUAUAUUAACGUUGUUGCAGUUAAAAAGCUCGUAGUUGGAUUUCUGGAGGGAGCGUCGGCCCGUAUUUACGAGUGCGUGACGUCUCUGUCCAUCCUUGCGGGAAGGCACGGCAUUGAUUUGUUGUGUCGGAUCGCAUCAUUUACUGUGAAAAAAUUAGAGUGUUCAAAGCAGGCUUUCGCUUGAAUACAUUAGCAUGGAAUAAUAAGAUAGGACUUUGGUGCUAUUGUGUUGGUUGAGCCUAAAGUAAUGAUUAAUAGGGAUAGUUGGGGGCACCUGUAUUGCGUUGUCAGAGGUGAAAUUCUUGGAUUUACGCAAGACAAACAGCUGCGAAAGCGUCUGCCAAGGAUGUUUUCAUUAA
This 366-nucleotide ribosomal RNA is filed under the name uncultured eukaryote. RNAcentral's name for it is "partial 18S ribosomal RNA". It matches the Rfam family "Eukaryotic small subunit ribosomal RNA", at positions 592 to 976 of the family's 1831-position model. The record is from RNAcentral.